Molecule: long non-coding RNA, 742 nt
Organism: Brassica napus (rape)
Lineage: Eukaryota; Viridiplantae; Streptophyta; Magnoliopsida; Brassicales; Brassicaceae
Exons: 3
Source: RefSeq, a predicted model, not a curated record
CCGUAGAAACUUGCAGUUCAUACACUUUUGCCAGCUGCCACGUUCAAUAUGUUUGCUUAAGCUGGAUGGUUAUGUUCGGCCUCCUCCUCGCUCUCUUCCCAACCAGACAGUUUCUGUUCUUCUCUGGCUCUUGCACAAAAGAGACUCUUUGAUCCAUUAUACGAUUAGUACGAAGAUGAUUUGAUUCACACCAUCAUCAUAGAUUAAUACACACCAGAGAAAAAGCCAUAAACUACCUCCAUCAUCAUCAUCGUCAUCACCACCAUCACCAACUCGCCAUGGUGUCAAAACACAUAAUUAUCAUCGUAGGACACACCAGAUACACAGACAACAUCAUCAUCAUGGGCAGUACGAAUACGUUUUGAAGAAGAAGCUUGAUCGUCCUGACCACAACGAGUCUCACUAUUACCAACAACUUCACUGAGUCCAUAAACAUGACAACCAGAAAGCAGCGUAGGCGAGGAGGCAAACAGAGGCAACGUGGGAUGUGAUCGCACGUGCACAUACAGAGGAGAGUUAAAAAAGGCCAUUGGCAUGUGGGAAGAAACAUAUUUUGUGUAUGAUAACUAUAGGUUUCAUGGAUCUAACUAUCAAAAACCAUAGGCAUUUUUUUGAAAUGACGAAUGCGUUCUUGUCUUCGAUUUCCGAGUAUCUGAAAAACUAUAAUUUACACCGGAUUUUGUUUUGAUCCAUACAACUGUAAAAAAUAAAAAUUAUUACAAAAUAAUAAUAUUUUAGAGCA